AUGUCUUCUCUGCCUUUGGGCUAAGAUACAAGUGUAGUAUCUGUUCUCACCAGUUGGGGGAGCAGUCACCUCCUGCUGGUGAGAGAGAGAUGCACUUGAUCCUCUGGCCUAGAGGCUGGCAGCUAUGGAGCUCCUUUGUGCCCCAGGAUUUACCCACCUGGGGUGCCGUAAGUCACAGAUC
Molecule: small nuclear RNA, 181 nt
Filed under: Xenopus tropicalis (tropical clawed frog)
Lineage: Eukaryota; Metazoa; Chordata; Amphibia; Anura; Pipidae
Description: U2 spliceosomal RNA (ENSXETG00000044546.1)
Rfam family: U2 spliceosomal RNA
About the family: U2 is a small nuclear RNA (snRNA) component of the spliceosome (involved in pre-mRNA splicing). Complementary binding between U2 snRNA (in an area lying towards the 5' end but 3' to hairpin I) and the branchpoint sequence (BPS) of the intron results the bulging out of an unpaired adenosine, on the BPS, which initiates a nucleophilic attack at the intronic 5' splice site, thus starting the first of two transesterification reactions that mediate splicing.
Source: Rfam by way of RNAcentral